UUCUAUUGUACAGACUGUGCAUCGGAGAAGUACCAAUUGACAUGUAUGAAUCAAGAUCUUCAUUUAUAAUACGAGGAGUCUUUCACUGUUUUUGGUUGAAGUGGGUGAAAAUGGUGAAAUUGCUUUCUAGGUUCACACGAUUGUGAAAGAGAUGACUUCAAUGAUAUUCGAUAUCAAUGACAUAGUAUACAUUAAGUCCGUUUAGUGGAGCAAGCAAGUUUCGGGGCCUUUUUAUCAAUUUAACAAGAAUACAUUUCUUCUCGAUACUUACAUAAACAUUGAGAUAAUUUUUGGAAGUUGUGGAUUUAUCUGUAGUUUUCAUGGAAUAACCGCUUAAUUCCCGUUUAGUCUCGUUUAAAAUCCCGUACGCGUGUAUAUUACAUGUGUUUAAAUUACAAAACUGUACAUGACCUCAUGUACGUCUGGCUGCCUGUUUUGAGAAAUCUGUAUGAUAAAGUCAAGAGUUACCAGAAAGACAACGUAUGUCUGACAUGUGUCUUUCCUCCUCGCGGUUCGUUAUAAAAGCGCCGUCAUUGUGCUCGCCCAUAACAAUCUCACCGACGAACAAUAUAAAAUCGUCGCACCAAUUGGAAAAAUUCGCGGUUCCAUCAUGAUCUCCAGACUUGGUAAGAAAAUUUAUUCCUUCCGCAGUGUCAGAUACGCCAAACGGCCGAUCGGACAGCAACCCAAUAAAAUGAUAUUGCAAUAUCCUGCACAAGUCUUGCACAAUUUCUUAAGAAUGCAAAAUGUGGAAAGACUCUUAAUCUACGAUCGUACGAUAUUACAUAAAAAUUGCUUCGUAAAUGAUCUAUCCAGCAAUUUUUUGACAAGAUUAAGGUAGACGUCGAAUCAGAAUUUUGGCCAAAUUUUUUAUUUUUGUUUCUUCAAUUUUAUUUCCCCUAGGUAGCAAUUCCAGCGGCGGAUUGGAACGACGUUUUCGGUGCGACUAAAGAAGGACCCGCCUGCCCAGCACUCAAACAGAAUGUAAUGGAGAAUUGUGUCCGUGUGAAUGUUUACACAACGAAAUUGAGGAUAUAAUAGAACGUAACACUAACUUAAAAAAGUAUGAAUAAGUCACACAUUGAAAAAUUAUCUUGAUUCCAGUUGUCAUCGGAGAACGAUCCCAUAAAAAGGCCCGUACUGGUAUUCUCCAAUCCCGGUGGUUUUUACUUAUUCUCGGGCCAAAGCUGUAACUUCGGACCUUAAUAUUUACUGGAUAAAGACAUCGUUGCUUGUCAUUAUCAAUUACCGUCUUGCGUUUCUAAGCUUUAUGAGCACCGACGAUUCGAAGUUACCGGAUAAUUUGAGCUUGAAAGAUCAGGUCGUGGCACUUCGAUGACUCCAGAGGAACAUAGCCGCCUUCGGCGGCGAUCCCGAUAGUGUUACUAUAGA
Wasmannia auropunctata (little fire ant) is the source of this 1392-nucleotide long non-coding RNA. RefSeq lists it as uncharacterized. The record is from RefSeq and is a predicted model, not a curated record. Lineage: Eukaryota; Metazoa; Arthropoda; Insecta; Hymenoptera; Formicidae. The transcript has 6 exons.